AUGGCAACGUGGUGACAUUCUGGGGAUAUUUUCUUCUUAUGCAGGCUAUUUACAGGGUAUUCUGACACGCAACUCCUGCAUAAGAGCUGUUACAGGAAUGAACAGUUUUGUAUGAUAUGCACGUCAGGAAGCGAUUCCUGCAUGAGAGCUGUUACAGGAAUGAACAGUUUUUAUGAUAUGUACGUAAUAAAGCGAUUCCUGCAGGAGAGCUGUUACCGGAAUGAACAGGAUUUUUUGGUGCGUACGUAAGGAAGCGAUUCCUGCAAGAGAGCUGUUACAGGAAUGAACAGUUUUUAAGGUUCAAAACCCGAUUUACCAGCUGCGCUGAGUGUGGGGCAGUUCAGAUGGCUGUUUGAAGAGUUUUAGUGAGAGGAGCAUUUAUUGAUUUCGAUGUCCAAUGCCGAUUGAUAUGUAUAUGCAAGCAGGGAGGAUCAAGCAAUGACUUGACCGGUCAUGUCUUUUAGACAUGACCGAUCAAGACAUUAGUUGAUCGUACCCUUUGGCUUAUUGCUGUAAUUACAAUCGGUGUAUGUUUAACAAACCGAUACCAAUCGGUGUAUACUUAACUUAACAGCCCGAUACCAAUCGGUGUGUAUUUGUCUUGCCACCCGAUACCAAUCGGUGCAUGCUUAAAUUGCCACCCGAUACCAAUCGGUAUUUAUUAGUUAAUCUGAUAAUCAUUAUUGUUCACUGUUAAAUAUAUUAACCGAUAUAAAUCGGAAUGCAUUGGUUAACCCGAUUAAUAAUCGGUGAUCACAGUUAAUAAGAUAACCGAUAUUAAUCGGGAUUCAUACGUUAUAAUAUAAACCGAUAUUAUUUGGUAUUCUAUGCUA
Molecule: long non-coding RNA, 833 nt
Organism: Cryptomeria japonica (Japanese cedar)
Lineage: Eukaryota; Viridiplantae; Streptophyta; Pinopsida; Cupressales; Cupressaceae
Exons: 3
Source: RefSeq, a predicted model, not a curated record